RNAcentral lists this ribosomal RNA (1021 nucleotides) under Hysterographium fraxini. RNAcentral describes it as "SSU rRNA". It matches the Rfam family "Eukaryotic small subunit ribosomal RNA", at positions 83 to 1116 of the family's 1831-position model. Lineage: Eukaryota; Fungi; Ascomycota; Dothideomycetes; Hysteriales; Hysteriaceae. The record is from RNAcentral.
GAAACUGCGAAUGGCUCCAUUAAAUCAGUAUCGUUUAUUUGAUAGUACCUUACUACCUGGAUAACCGUGGUAAUUCUAGAGCUAAUACAUGCUGAAAGCCCCGACUCCGGGAGGGGCGUAUUUAUUAGAUAAAAAACCAAUGCCUUCGGGGCUCCUUGGUGAUUCAUGAUAACUAAACGAAUCGCAUGGCCUUGCGCCGGGCGAUGGUUCAUUCAAAUUUCUGCCCUAUCAACUUUCGAUGGUAGGAUAGUGGCCUACCAUGGUAUCAACGGGUAACGGGGAAUUAGGGUUCGACUCCGGAGAGGGAGCCUGAGAAACGGCUACCACAUCCAAGGAAGGCAGCAGGCGCGCAAAUUACCCAAUCCCGACACGGGGAGGUAGUGACAAUAAAUACUGAUACAGGGCUCUUUUGGGUCUUGUAAUUGGAAUGAGUACAAUUUAAAUCCCUUAACGAGGAACAAUUGGAGGGCAAGUCUGGUGCCAGCAGCCGCGGUAAUUCCAGCUCCAAUAGCGUAUAUUAAAGUUGUUGCAGUUAAAAAGCUCGUAGUUGAACCUUGGGCCUGGCUGGCCGGUCCGCCUCACCGCGUGCACUGGUCCGGCCGGGCCUUUCCUCCUGGGGAGCCGCAUGCCCUUCGCUGGGCGUGCCGGGGAACCAGGACUUUUACUUUGAAAAAAUUAGAGUGUUCAAAGCAGGCCUUUGCUCGGAUACAUUAGCAUGGAAUAAUAGAAUAGGACGUGCGGUUCUAUUUUGUUGGUUUCUAGGACCGCCGUAAUGAUUAAUAGGGACAGUCGGGGGCAUCAGUAUUCAAUUGUCAGAGGUGAAAUUCUUGGAUCAAUUGAAGACUAACUACUGCGAAAGCAUUUGCCAAGGAUGUUUUCAUUAAUCAGUGAACGAAAGUUAGGGGAUCGAAGACGAUCAGAUACCGUCGUAGUCUUAACCGUAAACUAUGCGACUAGGGAUCGGGCGGUGUUUAUCAUUUUGACCCGCUCGCACUUACGAGAAAUCAAGUUUUGGGUUCUG